CUUUUGACUAAGCCAAAGUCUCUUUAGCGAGGAAUUCUACACUAUCACACUGGCACCACGUCAUUAAUAACAAGCCAAUAACAAGCCAAUCAUCUUUCUUCUUUUCAAAUAAAAGUACAAUAAAAAUAUUUUUUUAUAAUCACGAUGGGACAUAUAUUUCUAAAAAGAAUUUUUUGAUUGGUUUGUUACGCCACGUCAUCAAUAUACCCGUUGCAUUCUAGAAUUUUUCCUCUUUAGCUAGCCAAGCUACUUCAGUU
RNAcentral lists this long non-coding RNA (257 nucleotides) under Ananas comosus (pineapple). RNAcentral describes it as "long non-coding RNA (ACOM_LNC017282)". The record is from RNAcentral. Lineage: Eukaryota; Viridiplantae; Streptophyta; Magnoliopsida; Poales; Bromeliaceae.